Cajanus cajan (pigeon pea) is the source of this 2121-nucleotide non-coding RNA. NCBI's taxonomy places the organism in Eukaryota, Viridiplantae, Streptophyta, Magnoliopsida, Fabales, Fabaceae. The record is from RefSeq and is a predicted model, not a curated record.
CUUUUAUGUUUUUAUUUUAAAAUUUAUAGCUAAGAUAAUCAUAGACGAACUGCAGCGCUGGUUUUGAGCGGUAGUUCUUAGCAGAAUAGGUGGAGGCAGAGAAGAGAAGGGUGUGUGUGGAGAAAGAAAAAGAAAAAGAAAGUGUGGUUUUGUCUUUUGGUUUUGCUUUUCUCCAAAUGGACAUUCUUCUUCACUUUUUUCUCUUUGCUCCAAUCCUUUUGUGCCUCACUUUUGUGUAUCUGCCUUUUCCACAACCAACUUAUUUUUGGGCUUGGAAGUCACUCUUGUCUCACCCGGUGGCUGAUUUGGUUUUGAGGAAUGGGAUGAUAUAUACCAGUGAUGACUCUCUCCCAUUUGCUGAUUCUAUGGCAGUGGCCAAUGGGAGGGUUCUUCGUGUUGGCAACAAUUCAUUUGUCAAGGAGUUGGAAGGUAUUGGAACUCAAGUUUUGGAUCUUGGUGGGAAGGUUGUGGUUCCUGGGUUCAUUGAUUCCCAUGUGCAUUUCAUUGAUGGUGGAUUGCAGAUGAUGCAGGUGAAGCUGAGAGGUGUGAAUAAAAAGGAUGAAUUUAUCAGAAGGAUUAAAGAUGCAGCACAAAGCACAAAGCAAGAUUCCUGGAUUUUGGGUGGUGGAUGGAACAAUGAUCUAUGGGGAGGAGAUCUGCCAGCUGCUUCUUGGAUCGAUGAUGUUACUCCUAAUAAUCCUGUAUGGCUGUCAAGAGUGGAUGGUCACAUGGGCUUGGCUAACUCAGUGGCACUAAUGUUGGCUGGGAUUACAAAUUUAACAGAUGAUCCACAAGGGGGAACUAUAAUGAGGACUGACCAAGGAGAACCUAGUGGAGUACUAAUUGAUUCUGCGAGGACACUGAUUACCUCCCAUAUCCCAGAGGAUUCAGUAGAUGAUAGGAGGGAAGCGUUGCUUAGAGCAAACAAUCUUGCCCUAACAAGGGGGGUGACAACAGUUGUUGAUAUGGGAAGAUAUUAUCCUGGGUUUUCAUCCGAAUAUUCCUGGGAUGAUUUUUCAGAUGUUUAUCAAUGGGCUAAUUCUAUGUCAAAAAUGAAAAUUAGAGUGUGUUUAUUUUUUCCAAUGGAGACAUGGGCACGUUUGGUGGAUGUGAUUAACAAAGUUGGCCAUGCCUUGAGUGAAAAGAUUUAUAUAGGUGGUGUCAAAGCUUUUGCUGACGGGUCUUUGGGUUCCAAUAGUGCAUUGCUUUAUGAGCCAUAUAUUGAUGAGUCUGGCAAUUAUGGUAUACAAGUGACUGAACUUGAAACUCUUCACAACAUGACCUUGGAUUCAGAUUUAAAUGGUCUACAGGUUGCUAUUCAUGCGAUAGGGGACAAAGCAAAUGACCUUAUCUUGGACAUGUAUGGUUCAGUAGCUUCUACAAAUGGAAUGAGAGAUCGAAGAUUCAGGAUUGAGCAUGCCCAGCAGUUGGCAGCUGGAACCUCCAGCCGGUUUGGCAAACAACGUGUUGUUGCUUCCAUGCAGCCAGAUCAAUUGUUGGAUGAUGCUGACUCUACCGGCAAAAAGCUUGGCGAGGAUAGGGCUGAAAAUGAAUCUUAUUUAUUUCGGACACUCUUAAAUAAUGAUGCAUUACUGGCAUUUGGUUCUGACUGGCCAGUAAGUGGUAGACAUCAAUCCCUUGAGUGGUAUUAAGACAGCAAUCACAAGGAGGCCUCCCACAUGGAAAAGUGCAUGGAUUCCAUCAGAAUGCAUUUCAUUAGAUGAUGCAAUAAAGGCUUACACCAUUUCUGCGGCUCGCGCAAGCUUUCUUGACAGAGAUCUGGGUUCCUUAUCUCCUGGGAAACUGGCAGAUUUUAUCAUAUUGUCCACUGAUUCAUGGAAAGACUUUGCUGAAGAAGCAUCUGCAUCUAUUGAGGAAACGUAUGUUUCUGGUGUGAGAGCAUAUCCUUGAAGCUUUUCCAUGCAGUUAGAUGAAAAUUUUUGGUUAAAUUAAAAUUAAAAAAAAAACUACAUUUGGUUGACAUACGAAAAAAAUGUUUACGAAUUGGUCUUUGCCAUUUGUCAACAUUACAGCUGUGUUAAAUUUGAUUCUUAUACUUGAUAACAUUUUAUUUAGUUUUUAUAUGAAAAAAAUUUAAACCAUGCCGAUGGUAUGGUGUAU